RNAcentral lists this ribosomal RNA (421 nucleotides) under uncultured bacterium. Its description in RNAcentral is "bacterial SSU rRNA". It matches the Rfam family "Bacterial small subunit ribosomal RNA", at positions 356 to 774 of the family's 1533-position model. The record is from RNAcentral.
GAGGAAUAUUGGUCACUGGGCGCGAGCCUGAACCAGCCAAGUAGCGUGAAGGAUGACUGCCCUAUGGGUUGUAAAAUUCUUUUAUAAGGGAAUAAAGUGAGUCACGUGUGCCUUAUUGUAUGUACCUUAGGAAUAAGCACCGGCUAACUCCGUGCCAGCAGCCGCGGUAAUACGGAGGGUGCAAGCGUUAAUCGGAAUCACUGGGCGUAAAGCGCGCGUAGGCGGCUUUUUAAGUCGGACGUGAAAGCCCUCGGCUCAACCGGGGAAUUGCGUUCGAAACUGGGAGGCUUGAGUCCUGGAGAGGGUGGCGGAAUUCCGGGUGUAGGAGUGAAAUCCGUAGAUAUCCGGAGGAACACCGGUGGCGAAGGCGGCCACCUGGACAGGUACUGACGCUGAGGCGCGAAAGCGUGGGGAGCAAACA